This is an RNA transcript of Gigantopelta aegis, 2970 nucleotides long. RefSeq lists it as uncharacterized. Lineage: Eukaryota; Metazoa; Mollusca; Gastropoda; Neomphalida; Peltospiridae. The transcript has 5 exons. The record is from RefSeq and is a predicted model, not a curated record.
UGUUUAUAUUCUUCAUGAUUGUAAUAAAAAUGUAAAGUUCCAGUUUAAAAAUAAAUAUUACAAUAGAAAUGUGUACCAACAGUCUGUAUGUUAUAUAAACUGAGCACGAAGCCAAAACGAUAGUGCCAGGUUAUUCUGUUGCGACUGAUUUAAGGUUCAAACAUACUUUCAUAGGCGCGUAAAAGGACUCCUGGUCGCAUUUUAUCCGAGGCACAAAAGUAAAAUAGGCCUAUUAUUAUUAAAAUAUAAACACAGGCAAGAAAACAAAUGGGGGACUGACUCCUAUAUAUUCACAAACUGAACCGAAAUACACCCAAACGCAAAGUAGGCUAACAAAUCUCUUAUAAUCCGUCCCAUCCUCCUACAAAAAUUGUUUUGUAAAUAAUUUCAGUUUGGUUUGAUGUAGGCCUAAGAAGAAAAAAAAAAAAAAAAAUUGAAAUAACAAAACAAUACUAUUAUUGUGUGCAAUUUAAAAAAAAAACAAAAAAAAACAAUCACCUCAAAAAUAAAUAACUUGUAGUAAAUUCCAUGGUAUAAAAAAGGGCGUUUCCGGUGGGACGGACUAUAGAUCCUAUUUUAUUUAUAAGCGUCUGUAGAAAUGUGACGUCACAAAUUGGGGGAGAGCACUUGAGGUGGUGUUGUGACGUACGAAUUGUUUCCGUGAUGUUAGAGCAUGCGAUUAUAAACGAUGAGUCCGUUUUAGGAAUAUAUUCUCCAUUUUAAACUCUGGUAUUUGUGCAAUGCUAAGGCUGAUAGUAGACUAACAUGAAGACCAUAAAGUGCGUCUUUAUGAUGCAGGGACUGCUGAUAAAUUGUGUUGGAUCCCCUUAUUUGUCUGGUGCUACGACGUACGCUGAGCUGAACCACCCCUUUACUUUCAUCUGUACUGUAACCGUCUCUUCCAAUCCUACUGACGAAGUAAGUUUUCAAACUGGAAAAGACGAGAUUGCUGUGCUGAAGCAGACGGCUUCAGGAUGUGUUUUGUCUAACGUUCCACACCCAGUACGUUAUUCUGCCUCCUGUGAAUCAGGGACAGCCGAUAUCUUUGCCAGAAGUAAGAACUACACUCUGACCAUCAAAAGAAUUUCAGUCAACGAUAUUACAGACUGGUUCUGUGAAACGAAAAAUCCAAAAAAUCGCAGCAACAGUUUUAAAGUCAAGUUGAAGCACCAGGACUACACGAGCAGCAGCUGCCACUUACAGACUUGGAAAACACCAGGCAACCAUCAACACAGGACCUACUGCACGUCGACGACAUCCCGGUGCUAAGCCCUAAUGAGAUCUACCGAAAAUACAGCCUCGUUACACCCCCCGCAAAAAGACCCAGGACACGUUCACAUACCAGAGAAGACCACAGAGUAUACACACAACUUUCACAUUACAGAACAAAGAACAAACAGAACAGGGUGGUUAAAUUUACCGAGGAUUACGACAAAUACAGAAGAGUGUCAUCUGCAACAGAAACACUGAAAAUCAGAAGCCAAGAAGCGAGGUUUUAAAGUAAAAUCAGAAAUAGAAAUAAAGAAAAAAGAACGGACAUAAAAAAAGAAAUAUGCCAAAACUGCAUAUCCAUACACAAAGUUUGCUUUUGAAACAGAUAUAUAUGUUUACGGUGAUGUAUAUCCAAAUUGCUGGCUAUACUAUAAUAAUAAUACACAAUAAUAUUAUAUUUCAAAAUUUCAAAAUCGAGGGUUGUCUGAAAUUUAUAGGGGGUUGAAUCAUACACGCCAGGAAAAUAUAUUGGAAAAAAACUACAAUUUGCUUGAGCAGGUGAGGAGGUUCGAGCCCCGAAGCCCUGCACAUGCGCCUGCUUGUAUAUUUUUCUGUGAAGAAGUGACUACAAAGAGUUAGACGUGCACAUUUCUUAUGGACCGCAUUUGUUCCUUGACCGCUACAUGUUUCAUUCAAAAUUUGGCAUUGUUUUAUUGAAAGCUACACCGACUUAGUUGCAUAAUUUCAGAGAUGCUUCUUCUGAUUUCUGUCCAAAUAAUAGCACUACUGGCAAGAACUACAAUGGGGAAACAGCAAUAAAAAUGGUUGCUGCUCAUUUGAUAAUCCAUGCCCUUCCAGGAUGUAAUACUGCUGCUAUAAUAUAAAGGGUUACAAAAGCAAGAUUUAUCAAAAUUCUGCAUGAAGCUUUUAAACCUAUUAAACCUGGGGACUUGGAUAGUGACAUAGAUAAGUCACCAGAAAGGCUUCAUUUAGAUGGUAAAGACGUUGAUUGUUGAAAAUACGAAGUUUUAGAUCACUUCCACAAGUACUAUUCUACAUGGAAUGAAACCAUGCACCCUUUGAAAUCGUCCGAUUCAUUGCAGCUUUUUAACCAAAUUUCGCCGACUGGGUAAUAUUGGUGUUCAAGCGGUGGCAAUCUUGGAUGUAAAGAAUGUUGCAAUAUCUCAAUUAGCUGGGAGUAGUUCAACAUGAAACACCAUCAUGAACAUCAGCAGUUUCGUCAUUAUUGAUAAAGUAUUGGAGAUGUUUCCAGUUCUGUUUUGACAGCCAUCUUGGACGCCAUCUUGAAUAUUUAAAAAUGUUCAAGGAUACCAAAUUACACCUCUGGGAUCCUUAAUCAACACUUUAAAAAAAUGCAAAAACCACAAAGAACAUUGUGGGUACCGAUCUGCAAGGCUUAUAAGUGCUUUAGUAAACACUAAAACACGGAUUUCUCGACCACCUGAAUGAUAAAUGUUAAAAGGUGUGAUAACUAGGUAAAUCUACCCUAUUGAAAAGUCCAUUAUGCAUUUUUUGUUUGUCCUAGGAUGUACUAAAACAAUUACAACAGUUUUGUUUGGUGCCCUCAGAUGGUACCAAUUUUUGGUCUGGCUUAUGGACUUUCACGACAGUAACACUCCAGUGGCAUAGCUAUCAGCAGUCCGUGCUACAUGUAAUAAUUCUUACUGACAUUCCCCACAAAAAAACAUAAAAUAAUAAUAAUAAUAAAAAAUUAAAAAAAAAAAAAAAAAAAAAAAA